GCCGGCCUGGUGCUGCAGGCCGACCCGGCCCUCGGGAUGCACCAGGCCGGCAGCCCCAACUCUUUCCAGGCGACCUUGGUCCGGCUCCGGGUUCGAAUCCGCCUCCCCUACUUGCUGGCCCUGUGACCUUGGGCAGGUCCCCUAGCUCAAGUCCAGGUGACUCAAUGGAGACGAGAAUGACCUGCCUCGUGGGCUUGGGUGGGGUUCCGGAGGGCGCUUGGAAAGCGCUGGGCCCAGCCGAGCACGGAACAGCUCUGAGAGCCCCCGGCCGCCAGCGUGUCGGGAUCUGCCCUGCGCGGUGGAGCCGCCGGGAGCCAGGCCGGCACCGCAAACCCGUCCGUUAGCUUGGAACCCCUUGGCCUAGAGGCGUCCUUCCCGAGCUCAUCUCUUCCUGCAUCCCGGUUCGGCCGUCGUCCAGGGCUCCUCGUGUCUUGCGACCCUGCAAGGUCCUGGGACGGUCUAGCCAUUUCUCACGACCUGGCAUUCCCCCACCUCACAGGCCAUGAACCCGGUCAGACCCUCCCUGGCCUUCCAGCGCUCCCGGCCCCCCAGGGCCUCUGACGCCCAGGUCAGAAACAGCCUCUCCUCCUGGACCCUCCACCUUCCUGGGGCGUCUUGCCCAUCAUCAGCAAGCCCAAGGAAAAUGGUGAAGAAAAUUGAAAUCAGCCAGCACGCCAAGAAGACUUGCUCCUUCUGUGGCAAAACCAAGAUGAAGAGAUGAGCUGUGGGGAUCUGGCACUGUGGUUCCUCUGUAAAACUGGCAGCCGGUGGUGCCUGGACCGACACCAUCACUUCUGCUGUCACAGUAAAGUUGGCCAUCAAAAGACUGAAGGAAUUGAAAGAUCAGUAGAAGCUUCACCAUUUGGAUCAUUGCUAGCCUAUAAUAAGAUGAAAGAUUUAUAUGAUCUGAAGAGAAAUCAGAGUAUGCUAGCCUAUAAUAAAUGGGUUAAUUUAUGUAACAAGAUUUUUAAAAAUUGUGCUAAAAUAUAUAAUGGAAAAUUUACCAUUUUAAUUCCUUUCAAUUGUACAAUGCAGUGGCAAUUCACAAUGUUAUGCAAUCAUCAUCACUAUCCAUUUCCUGAACAUUUCAUCAUCUCAAACAGAAACACUGUGCUCAUUAAACAAUACCUCUCCUUUUCCCUCUAACUCCAGCCUCUGGUAUCCUCUAUUCUACUUUGUCUCUAUGAAUUUGUCUGUUCUAGGCACCUCAUAUAAGUGGAAUCAUAGAACAUCUGUACUUUUGUGUCUAGCUUAUUUAGCUUAGCAUAAUGUUAUUAAGGUUCAUCCAUGUUGUAAGUUAUGUAUCAGAAUUUCAUUCCUUUUUUUUUUUUAAUAUUUUAUUUUUUUCCUUUUUCUCCCCAAAGCCCCCCGGUACAUAGUUGUGUAUUGUUAGUUGUGGGUCCUUCCAGUUGUGGCAUGUGGGAC
RNAcentral lists this long non-coding RNA (1425 nucleotides) under Equus asinus (donkey). RNAcentral's name for it is "lncRNA (ENSEASG00005038771.1)". The record is from RNAcentral. Lineage: Eukaryota; Metazoa; Chordata; Mammalia; Perissodactyla; Equidae.